This 72-nucleotide transfer RNA is filed under the name Candidatus Aenigmatarchaeota archaeon. RNAcentral describes it as "tRNA-His". It matches the Rfam family "tRNA". Rfam says of the family: Transfer RNA (tRNA) molecules are approximately 80 nucleotides in length. Their secondary structure includes four short double-helical elements and three loops (D, anti-codon, and T loops). The record is from RNAcentral. Lineage: Archaea; Nanobdellati; Candidatus Aenigmatarchaeota.
GGGCCCGUAGCUCAGUCUGGUAGAGCAUCCGUAGUGACCGGAGAGUCGAGGGUUCGAAUCCCUUCGGGCCCA